AGCCCCGUGGUGAAGAAGCACGCUGGAUUGCAAGUCCAGAGACGUAGAUUAACAAUCUGCCGGGGCUU
RNAcentral lists this transfer RNA (68 nucleotides) under Macrochirichthys macrochirus (sward minnow). RNAcentral's name for it is "tRNA-Cys". It matches the Rfam family "tRNA". Rfam says of the family: Transfer RNA (tRNA) molecules are approximately 80 nucleotides in length. Lineage: Eukaryota; Metazoa; Chordata; Actinopteri; Cypriniformes; Xenocyprididae. The record is from RNAcentral.